GCGAAGCUAUGAACCGAAGCCCCAGUAAACGGCGGCCGUAACUAUAACGGUCCUAAGGUAGCGAAAUUCCUUGUCAGGUAAAUUCUGACCCGCACGAAUGGCGUAACGACUUGGGCGCUGUCUCAACGAGAGAUCCGGUGAAAUUUUAAUACCUGUGAAGAUGCAGGUUACCCGCGACAAGACGGAAAGACCCCAUGGAGCUUUACUGCAGCUUGAUAUUGAAUUUGGGUACGAUCUGUACAGGAUAGGUGGGAGCCGUUGAACCUUGAGCGCCAGCUUGAGGGGAGGCAUCCUUGGGAUACCACCCUGAUCGUAUCUAGGUUCUAACUUGGUACCGUGAUCCGGUACGAGGACAGUGUCAGGUGGGCAGUUUGACUGGGGCGGUCGCCUCCUAAAGAGUAACGGAGGCGCCCCAAGGUUCCCU
RNAcentral lists this ribosomal RNA (424 nucleotides) under Paenibacillus polymyxa. Its description in RNAcentral is "partial 23S ribosomal RNA". It matches the Rfam family "Bacterial large subunit ribosomal RNA", at positions 1899 to 2322 of the family's 2925-position model. The record is from RNAcentral. Lineage: Bacteria; Bacillati; Bacillota; Bacilli; Caryophanales; Paenibacillaceae.